This 347-nucleotide ribosomal RNA is filed under the name uncultured bacterium. RNAcentral's name for it is "bacterial SSU rRNA". It matches the Rfam family "Bacterial small subunit ribosomal RNA", at positions 72 to 422 of the family's 1533-position model. The record is from RNAcentral.
CGCGGGGGCAACCCUGGCGGCGAGUGGCGAACGGGUGAGUAAUACUUCGGAACGUACCCCGUAGUGGGGGAUAACUCAGCGAAAGCUGGGCUAAUACCGCAUAUGCUCUACGGAGGAAAGCAGGGGACCGCAAGGCCUUGUGCUAUGGGAGCGGCCGAAGCCCGAUUAGCUUGUUGGUGAGGUAAAGGCUUACCAAGGCGACGAUCGGUAGCUGGUCUGAGAGGAUGAUCAGCCACACUGGGACUGAGACACGGCCCAGACUCCUACGGGAGGCAGCAGUGGGGAAUUUUGGACAAUGGGGGCAACCCUGAUCCAGCCAUGCCGCGUGAGUGAAGAAGGCCUUCGGG